RNAcentral lists this ribosomal RNA (383 nucleotides) under uncultured eukaryote. RNAcentral describes it as "partial 18S ribosomal RNA". It matches the Rfam family "Eukaryotic small subunit ribosomal RNA", at positions 592 to 976 of the family's 1831-position model. The record is from RNAcentral.
CAAUAGCGUAUAUUAAAGUUGUUGCAGUUAAAAAGCUCGUAGUUGAAUUUCUGGCAGGAGCGACCGGUCACACACUCUGUGUGUGAACUUGUGUUGUCUCUGGCCAUCCUUGGGGAGAUCCUGUUUGGCAUUAAGUUGUCGGGCAGGGGACAUCCAUCGUUUACUGUGAAAAAAUUAGAGUGUUUAAAGCAGGCUUAUGCCGUUGAAUAUAUUAGCAUGGAAUAAUAAGAUAGGACUUCGGAACUAUUUUGUUGGUUUGCGUUACGAAGUAAUGAUUAAUAGGGACAGUUGGGGGUAUUCGUAUUUCGUUGUCAGAGGUGAAAUUCUUGGAUUUCCGAAAGACGAACUACUGCGAAAGCAUUUACCAAGGAUGUUUUCAUUAA